AUAAAUGUGUGAUAUAACUGCCAGUGAUUAUUACGUAACAAUAUGUUUCUUUCACUAAAUUAUGUUAUGUUAUACAAACUAUUAAUUAUAAUUAUGUUUUGCAAUAACAUACUAUUUUAACAAACUGGCCCAUUUGCAAAUUAUGAAACCGGGGAUUUUGUUUUCUAUAACCGGUUCUGUCGAUUCGGAAAAGAUGCAGUCCAGAGCUUUCUUUUUAUUACCCUUUUUAAUUAGUUUGUAAAGAUUUAUUAAUGGUAUAGAAUAUUACUCCGUACGUAUAAUAAGUUGAUGGAUACAACUAAAUGUGUUUUUGAAAAAGGUAUGGACACAACCACUCCUCUUCAUUUUCUUCUGGUUCGUUCUUUGUCAAGUCGACUUCCUCGGUAGUAUUUGUCGUUGUUGUGUGAGCUAUUAUGAGUAGAGAUUCCAAAGGAUGAACCAGAGAAACUCAGGGAGGAACAAAUGGAGGGGGAUGGUUUUAAGGAGAAGUUAUCAGACUCUGUGUUGAUUGAUGAGAAGCUUGAAGAGUACAGUGAUUGUGAUCAAACAUCAACCACUUCCCGUUCCCACAGAGAUCCAAUAUCUUCUCAAUCUACUCACCUGACCCUGGAAAGCUUUAGAACUCCAAUAACAUAGACUCAAGCUUCACCUGUUCAAGACAAAGUGGCAAACACUAGAUCCUUUAGAAGUAACUCUAUGAAAGUUAAUCAAGAUGAGUUCUUCAUUGAAGACUUCGAUGUUGGUCCAAUGUAUACCAUUGAUUUGUAUGACAUGACAUUUCGAGAAGACCCCUCAGAUUUUGACGAUAAUUUGCUAUAUGCAAUGCGUGACAGGACUAAGCAACUCAGAUCAUUCAAGAGAAAGAUAAUGGAUGCUAUAAAAUCGAAAAGAAGAAGAGAAAAGGAAUAUGAGCAGCUUGCUAUAUGGUUCGGAGAUGCAGACAUGGGUUGUGAUCUGGUAGACAACAAGGAACAUGCUACAACAUCUAUAGACUCCAAAAGCUCGCAGUCAAAUGUGCCAGUUGUAUCAGAAGAUUCUGAAUGGGAGCUUUUGUAAGAUAUAAUGUGUUCUAUUUUGGUGAGACUCAUGUGAUGAUGAUACCAAUAUUUAGUUUGUAACUAUUACUAAUAUGGAAAUAUUUAAAUCUUCUUAUUUAAUUCCUCUUCAUCACCAUGACUUUUUUUUUUUUUGCUUUAUGUUUAUGUUAAUAUAUCCUUUAAUAUAGUUUCAUUUUUCCUUCAUAU
Molecule: small RNA, 1244 nt
Filed under: Arabidopsis thaliana (thale cress)
Lineage: Eukaryota; Viridiplantae; Streptophyta; Magnoliopsida; Brassicales; Brassicaceae
Description: ATSL102600
Source: RNAcentral